GCGCAGCAGGCGAGAAAACUUCACACUGUGCGAAAGCACGAUGAGGGAAUCCCAAGUGCUUGCACGUAAGUGUAAGCUGUUUCUCUGUUUAAAACGCAGAGAGAGUAAGGGCUGGGUAAGACGGGUGCCAGCCGCCGCGGUAAUACCUGCAGCUCAAGUGGUGACCGUUAUUAUUGGACCUAAAACGUCCGUAGCCGGUUUAAUAAAUGCCUGGGUAAAUCGUGUAGCUUAA
RNAcentral lists this ribosomal RNA (232 nucleotides) under uncultured microorganism. RNAcentral's name for it is "partial 16S ribosomal RNA". It matches the Rfam family "Archaeal small subunit ribosomal RNA", at positions 330 to 562 of the family's 1478-position model. The record is from RNAcentral.